Molecule: long non-coding RNA, 679 nt
Organism: Oreochromis aureus
Lineage: Eukaryota; Metazoa; Chordata; Actinopteri; Cichliformes; Cichlidae
Source: Ensembl
GUCAGAGUCCAGUGAUCUACAGAGCAGAGAAAGGUACUGCUGUCUUCUGAGUUUUUCAGUUUCCAAACUGGGACAUUCAAACCUCAUCACUUGAGCUUGUGUCUAUCUUCACCAAUCUCACACUCACAUGGUGUGAGAUUGCUCUGGAUUCUGGUUAUUGGCCUGCAGCACCUAUGAGAACAAGCUCGUCCUGCAUGCCUGCAUUCCAGCUUCUUAGACUCUACACAAGUGGACAGAGUGUCAGUGUUUGACCACUCUUAGACACCAACUUCUGUCACCUCACUCCAGGAAGACAGGGCUGCAAGCUUGUCAUCAUUUCCAGUGUGACUUGGGGAACUCUUGGGGUAGCAUCAGAUUUUUCCCACAAAUAUUCAAAGAUUUAGAUGCAGUGAUCGAAUGUGCUGCAGCUUUGUUAACUAUUUGGAAAACAUCUGUUUGUGAUGGUAUUUAAAAUGAGGCUUUAAGGUGACAGUUUCCACGUAAAUUCAGUCCUUUUACUAAACAAAAACAUUUUUUAAUUUACAUUCUUUUUAUUUGUUUUAGCAGCACAUCAUUGGUCAAAGGUAAAAAGAGCCACAUGUUACACCAACAAUGACUUUUUGACUCUGUUUGUGUCACCAGAUUUAACAAACAAUAUCAGACCUAUGAAAUAAGUAACUGCACCAUUUUUGGAUAAAUG